This 237-nucleotide small RNA is filed under the name Arabidopsis thaliana (thale cress). RNAcentral's name for it is "ATSL274870". Lineage: Eukaryota; Viridiplantae; Streptophyta; Magnoliopsida; Brassicales; Brassicaceae. The record is from RNAcentral.
UCUAAAGCAAUGCUUGAACAAGUAAUUUUGGGUCCGUAAUAUAGCCCAAAUCACAAAAAUACCCGAAGAAGUACUUAAAGGUCAAAAUUUGGGGUCGACAAAAAGUCAAUGGAAAAGUUCCUUUGUCCUGCUUCUUUCGUCGGAGGGCUCUCUUUGGGCUUUCCGAAAAGGUAUCACAUGCCAAGUUUGGCCUCACGGUAUAAAAGUUAUAGAGUCAUAAAGUUUUAACCAAAAAAA